UGAUGUAGAUUGAUCGAUCAUAGACGAAACGACAGCCCCAGCGCAAUACGUUCCCUAACUUCCGCUUCCAAUUCCUUCCCUGAUCGCUUGGCUUUCCAUCUCCCCACCGCUUUCCGACUGAAUCGGCGGCUCGGCGGCGAUCGCAUUGCAGCCUUGCAGGUUCAGCGAGGCGACGGGCAAGAAGCGGAACUGCACGCGACUUUCGAGCGCUGGACGCCGCGCCGCAGGCGGCCGGCCGACACUGCCGCGGUGCCGCCCAACAGGAAAGACCAACCGUCAUUCAAGUUCAGAAGUAGUCACAGAUUCAAGAAUUUCAGUAGUUGCUCGUACUAUCGUCCAAGUCCAAAAUCAAGGUUCUAUCUGAUUAAACAAUCAUGCAUUCUAGUUCUGGAAGAAAGUAUGGUUCUGGUGCCUUCAAGCGUAAGAAGAAACAGAAAUUAGAAGAAGAUGCUCAAAUUCAAAGGGGUGCUCUUGAUAAAUAUGUUGUGAUAGUACCCCAAACUAAUUCUGAAAAUCAUACUCCAGAUGGUAAUAUUGAUGAUGGUCAUGAUGAUAAUGCAGUAGAGGUUGAGGUUGUCACUGCAGAAAUUCAUGAAGUUGAUCAUGGUCAUGGUGAUAAUGCACAAGAGGAUGAGAUUGCCGCUACAGAAAUUGAUGAAGGUGAUGAUGUCAAUAUUUUAGAUGAUGAUCAUGAUCCUAAUAUUUCGGAUGACAUGAAUAAUUCCGUUCAGCUUGAUAUAUUUGAUCCUAGAAAUUGGGAUGGACUUGAUCCUAAAAGAUUAAUUAUGAAGAUGUAAUUGAAGAUUUCAUUUCAAGGAACACAAGAUGGAUGACACUUUUCAAUAAAGCAUGAGGUCAGUUUAUUGGUUUUAGUAUUUCGCAUUGAUACUUCAGAAUAUUCUAAGCAUUGUAUGAAAUAACAUAAAUUUUAAUUACAUAAUUAGUUGAUUAUGCUUGCGUAUUUGUAUUUUUUUUAAUUUGGGGCCCCAUUUUUCUUUUCGCCCCGGGGCCCCGAAUUCCUGGAGACGGCCCUGCUCACAAACCAUGCAAGGCUCGCGAAACCUUGCCGGGUUAGCAUUCUGAGUUUGAGCUUUGCUUCGGUAGAA
Molecule: long non-coding RNA, 1106 nt
Organism: Triticum aestivum (bread wheat)
Lineage: Eukaryota; Viridiplantae; Streptophyta; Magnoliopsida; Poales; Poaceae
Exons: 3
Source: RefSeq, a predicted model, not a curated record